UUCCGCCUGGGGAGUACGGCCGCAAGGCUGAAACUCAAAGGAAUUGACGGGGACCCGCACAAGCAGCGGAGCAUGUGGUUUAAUUCGAUGCAACGCGAAGAACCUUACCUACUCUUGACAUCCAGAGAACUUAGCAGAGAUGCUUUGGUGCCUUCGGGAACUCUGAGACAGGUGCUGCAUGGCUGUCGUCAGCUCGUGUUGUGAAAUGUUGGGUUAAGUCCCGCAACGAGCGCAACCCUUAUCCUUUGUUGCCAGCGGUCCGGCCGGGAACUCAAAGGAGACUGCCAGUGAUAAACUGGAGGAAGGUGGGGAUGACGUCAAAUCAUCAUGCCCCUUAUGACCUGGG
Molecule: ribosomal RNA, 346 nt
Filed under: Chaetoceros curvisetus
Lineage: Eukaryota; Bacillariophyta; Thalassiosirophyceae; Chaetocerotales; Chaetocerotaceae
Description: partial Bacterial small subunit ribosomal RNA
Rfam family: Bacterial small subunit ribosomal RNA
Source: RNAcentral